RNAcentral lists this ribosomal RNA (638 nucleotides) under uncultured bacterium. RNAcentral describes it as "bacterial SSU rRNA". It matches the Rfam family "Bacterial small subunit ribosomal RNA", at positions 232 to 885 of the family's 1533-position model. The record is from RNAcentral.
CGCGGCCUAUCAGCUUGUUGGUGAGGUAACGGCUCACCAAGGCAUCGACGGGUAGCUGGUCUGAGAGGACGAUCAGCCACACUGGGACUGAGACACGGCCCAGACUCCUACGGGAGGCAGCAGUAGGGAAUCUUGCGCAAUGGGGGAAACCCUGACGCAGCAACGCCGCGUGUGGGAUGACGGCUUUCGGGUUGUAAACCACUUUCAGUGAUGACGAAAAUGACGGUAAUCACAGAAGAAGGUCCGGCCAACUACGUGCCAGCAGCCGCGGUAACACGUAGGGACCGAGCGUUGUCCGGAUUUAUUGGGCGUAAAGAGCUCGUAGGCGGUUUUGUAAGUCGGAUGUGAAAACUCAGGGCUCAACCCGGAGACGCCAUCCGAUACUGCAAUGACUAGAGUCCGGUAGAGGAAGAUGGAAUUCCUGGUGUAGCGGUGGAAUGCGCAGAUAUCAGGAGGAACACCAAUGGCGAAGGCAGUCUUCUGGGCCGGUACUGACGCUGAGGAGCGAAAGCAUGGGGAGCAAACAGGAUUAGAUACCCUGGUAGUCCAUGCCGUAAACGUUGGGCACUAGGUGUGGGGUCUUCUAACGGAUUCCGUGCCGUAGCUAACGCAUUAAGUGCCCCGCCUGGGGAGUACGG